UUGCUCUUCAACGAGGAAUUCCUAGUAAGCGUGAGUCAUCAGCUCGCGUUGAUUACGUCCCUGCCCUUUGUACACACCGCCCGUCGCUACUACCGAUUGAAUGGCUUAGUGAGAUCUCUGGAUUGGCUUUGAGGAUCCGGCAACGGAACCUUAUUGCUGAAAAGCUGCUCAAACUUGGUCAUUUAGAGGAAGUAAAAGUCGUAACAAGGUUUCCGUAGGUGAACCUGCGGAAGGAUCACUAGUGAUUAAAUCGAGAGCGUCUUCAUUGACCUCUCACCCUUCACAUCCACAUACACCUGUGCACCGUUUGGCUCUUUUAAAAGACGUAAGUCUGCAAAGAGAGUCAUCAAUUUUAUACAUACCCCAGUCUUAUGAAUGUAACAGUUUUAAUAAACAAAAUAAAACUUUUAACAACGGAUCUCUUGGUUCUCGCAUCGAUGAAGAACGCAGCGAAAUGCGAUAAGUAAUGUGAAUUGCAGAAUUCAGUGAAUCAUCGAAUCUUUGAACGCACCUUGCGCUCUUUGGUAUUCCGAAGAGCAUGCCUGUUUGAGUGUCAUGAAACUCUCAACUCCCAACUUUCUUAAUAGUCGGUUGGGAGCUUGGACUUGAGCGUUGCUGGUCUUCAUUGACCGGCUCGCUUGAAAUGAAUUAGCAGAUCCUUUUUGUAAUCGGUUCCACUCGACGUGAUAAGUAUUUCGCCGAGGACAUCUUAACGGAUGGCCGAGAUAAAGAAAGUCUUAGAUCCGCUUCUAAUUCUUAGCUAGAGCUUGCUCUACUAAACCCCUUUUAUGAUCUGGCCUCAAAUCAGGUAGGACUACCCGCUGAACUUAAGCAUAUCAAUAAGCGGAGGA
Molecule: ribosomal RNA, 851 nt
Filed under: uncultured fungus
Lineage: Eukaryota; Fungi
Description: eukaryotic LSU rRNA
Rfam family: Eukaryotic small subunit ribosomal RNA (bases 1-241)
Source: RNAcentral